AACAGGAUUAGAUACCCUGGUAGUCCACGCCGUAAACGAUGUCGACUUGGAGGUUGUUCCCUUGAGGAGUGGCUUCCGGAGCUAACGCGUUAAGUCGACCGCCUGGGGAGUACGGCCGCAAGGUUAAAACUCAAAUGAAUUGACGGGGGCCCGCACAAGCGGUGGAGCAUGUGGUUUAAUUCGAUGCAACGCGAAGAACCUUACCUACUCUUGACAUCCAGAGAACUUAGCAGAGAUGCUUUGGUGCCUUCGGGAACUCUGAGACAGGUGCUGCAUGGCUGUCGUCAGCUCGUGUUGUGAAAUGUUGGGUUAAGUCCCGCAACGAGCGCAACCCUUAUCCUUUGUUGCCAGCGGUUAGGCCGGGAACUCAAAGGAGACUGCCAGUGAUAAACUGGAGGAAGGUGGGGAUGACGUCAAGUCAUCAUGGCCCUUACGAGUAGGGCUACACACGUGCUACAAUGGCGCAUACAAAGAGAAGCGACCUCGCGAGAGCAAGCAGACCUCAUAAAGUGCGUCGUAGUCCGGAUUGGAGUCUGCAACUCGACUCCAUGAAGUCGGAAUCGCUAGUAAUCGUGGAUCAGAAUGCCACGGUGAAUACGUUCCCGGGCCUUGUACACACCGCCCGUCACACCAUGGGAGUGGGUUGCAAAAGAAGUAGGUAGCUUAACCUUCGGGAGGGCGCUUACCACUUUGUGAUUCAUGACUGGGGUGAAGUCGUAACAAGGUAACC
Molecule: ribosomal RNA, 730 nt
Filed under: uncultured bacterium
Lineage: Bacteria
Description: bacterial SSU rRNA
Rfam family: Bacterial small subunit ribosomal RNA
Source: RNAcentral